RNAcentral lists this long non-coding RNA (722 nucleotides) under Nicotiana benthamiana. RNAcentral describes it as "long non-coding RNA (NBEN_LNC017941)". The record is from RNAcentral. Lineage: Eukaryota; Viridiplantae; Streptophyta; Magnoliopsida; Solanales; Solanaceae.
AGAGAGUUCUUCAGAUCUUAGAGUUGAAACACGGAAAAUCAGAGAGAGAAAUCAGAGAAAUACUCCAUGAGCUAAAAGUUCUAUUGUUCCAUCAAUUCAUGUUAGGAGUUUGAAGCUUUUCCAACUCUGAAUCAAUUCUAGUAGAUCCUGGACCAAAUGGUUUAAAUCUAGAAUUUGUGGAGCUGGGCUUGAUCUAUUUGAUCUCAGUACUGUUGCACUGCUAAAGCUGAUUUGCUACUGUUAUUGACUGCUGAUCCCUCACAUCCUUUUUUCCCUUUUCCAUUUCCAGGUAUACUUCAGCUUUAUGAAUGCCAUUUGAAGUGUGAUUUGAAGCAGAAGUUCGACAACAUGAAAUAAAAUUUGAUUGAUUUUUGAAAUGCAUCUGUUCUUCCUUUAAUUCUACAAAUAACUUGUAUGUAGUUCAUAAUAACCUAGAAUAUGUUGUGUUCUCAUGAUUUGGUUAUUACGUGUUGAAAUCAAUGGAAUCAGUGGUAGUAUCUUACUCCUAUGUGUUUCAUGUUAGGCUUAUUUUUGAGUGUGAAUCCUAGCUGGUUUUGAAGCAUGAUAAAAUUUGAAUGUUGUUAUGAUUGGAUUUCAUGAUUAGAGCGAUCUAAACAGAUGUUGAGUUAUAGGUUAACAUACAUUGAGAUAUGAUAUUACAGGAAUGCAUGGUUUAGUUAUGUAAUAUCAGUUGUGUAAAUUCAAAUAGAUCAAAAUUUGAG